This 6531-nucleotide unclassified non-coding RNA is filed under the name Hevea brasiliensis (rubber tree). The stretch from base 3238 to 3317 matches the Rfam family "Small nucleolar RNA J33". The record is from RNAcentral. Lineage: Eukaryota; Viridiplantae; Streptophyta; Magnoliopsida; Malpighiales; Euphorbiaceae.
AAAAAGAGCACUAAGGAGUGAUUCUGCACUUCACUUUUGAUUGGUUUCUUGUGUGUAUUUAUCAAAAAACUGUUUUAUUUUCUCUGUUUUUCUACUCCUUCACGUCCUGCAGCCACCACAAUUCCACAAAGCUACCCCUUUUCUCUCCGUCUCCCCGUUGCUUUCCUCUCUCGUUCUUCUACAGGAAGCAAGAGCACUGGACAUGAGAACAGAAGCGAAAACGUUUCGACAGUGACGACGAAAACAGAGAGAAACGUUCUCUGGACUAAUUGUCAAUGAGGCGGGGACCUGCGGUGCCUCUACGCGCUGGCGAUGGCCGUCACGCGCCACCGCCUCCAUUGCCGGAUGUUUACAACAUAAUCCCCAUCCAUGACCUUCUAACUGAACAUCCCUCCAUUCGGUAUCCCGAGGUUCGAGCUGCCGCCGCCGCCCUACGAGAUAUCAGUAACCUGCCGAGGCUGCCGUUUGUUACUCGGGACCCUCACAUGGACUUGAUGGACUGGUUGGGGGUGCUCUUCGGGUUUCAAAGAGACAACGUGCGGAACCAGAGGGAGCACCUGGUGCUCCACCUAGCCAACUCACAAAUGCGGCUGCAACCGCCUCCCACGAUUCCCGACGAACUUGACCAGAAGGUUCUUCGCCGUUUUCGGGGCAAGUUAUUGAGUAACUACACCUCAUGGUGCUCUUACCUGGGCCGGAAAUCCCAAGUAGCUCUUUCUAAGCGCAACAAUAACAGCAAUGAGCUCCGGCGUGAGCUGUUGUACGUUGCCCUUUACCUUCUAAUAUGGGGGGAAUCAGGUAAUCUCCGGUUCAUGCCCGAGUGUAUAUGCUAUAUAUAUCACCAUAUGGCCAUGGAACUAAACCAAGUUCUUGACGAAUGGACUGACCCCAACACUGGUAGGCCAUUUUUGCCUUCAAUAUAUGGUGAUUGUGCAUUUUUGAAGUCCAUUGUUAUGCCUUUUUAUAAAACGAUAAAGACUGAAGUUGAUAGUAGCAAUAAUGGGACUAAACCGCACUCGGCUUGGAGGAAUUAUGAUGAUCUAAAUGAGUUCUUUUGGAGCAGGAGGUGUUUUAGGAAGCUGUCAUGGCCUAUUAAUUUUGGGAGUAAUUAUUUUGAUACGGUUGUGAAGAGUAAUAGAAUUGGCAAGACUGGAUUUGUGGAGCAGAGGUCGUUUUGGAAUGUGUAUAGAAGCUUUGAUAAGCUCUGGGUUUUGCUGAUUUUAUUUUUGCAGGCUAGUUUUAUCGUUGCUUGGGAGGGUACCGAAUAUCCGUGGCAGGCAUUAGAGAGGCGUGACCUGCAGGUUGAGUUGUUGACUUGUUUCAUCACAUGGGGUGGUCUUAGAUUUCUACAAUCCAUUCUUGAUGCGGGGACUCAGUAUAGCUUGGUUUCUAGGGACACAAUGUUGCUGGGUUUGAGGAUGGUGUUAAAAAGUGUGGUUGCUUUGACAUGGACUAUUGUGUUUGGGGUGUUCUAUGCGAGGAUUUGGAGUGCGAAGAAUUCUGCUGGGUUUUGGUCUGAUGAGGCAAAUAGUAGAAUUGUAACAUUUCUUGAGGCUGUCUUUGUGUUUGUAAUCCCUGAGCUGUUGGCUUUGCUGUUCUUUGUACUUCCUUGGAUUAGGAAUGCACUUGAGGAAUUGGACUGGAGAAUCUUGUAUGUGUCGACAUGGUGGUUUCAUACACGGAUUUUUGUGGGGCGUGGACUUAGGGAAGGGCUUGUGAACAAUGUCAAGUAUACAUUGUUUUGGAUUGCAGUAUUGGCUUCAAAAUUUACAUUCAGUUAUUUCCUUCAAAUCAAGCCACUGGUUGCCCCGACAAGGGCCCUUUUGAAUACGAAUGUCAAAUACAAUUGGCAUCAAUUUUUUGGCAGUAGUAACAGAAUUGCAGUUGCGUUGAUCUGGAUACCUGUUGUUCUAAUAUAUUUUAUGGAUUUGCAAAUCUGGUAUUCUAUUUUCUCUUCCUUUGUUGGUGCAACCAUUGGGCUGUUUUCGCACUUGGGUGAAAUUAGGAACACUGAACAGCUUCGGCUUAGGUUUCAGUUCUUUGCCAGCGCUUUGCAGUUUAAUCUCGUGCCCGAGGAGCCAUUGCUAAGUCCUAAGAUGACCUUGGUGAAGAAGCUCCGUGAUGCAAUCCACAGAUUUAGACUAAGAUAUGGGCUUGGUCAACCAUACAAAAAGAUCGAAUCAAGCCAAGUGGAGGCAACCACAUUUGCCUUGAUAUGGAAUGAGAUCAUCACAACUUUCCGGGAAGAAGAUAUCAUCAGUGAUCAAGAGCAUGAACUUUUAGAAUUGCCACCUAAUUAUUGGAACAUUAGGGUUAUUCGAUGGCCAUGUGUUUUACUAUGCAAUGAGCUAUUGCUUGCUCUCAAGCAGGCACAAGAGCUCGCAGAUGCACCUGACAGGUGGAUUUGGUUGAAAAUAAGCAAGAGCGAGUAUAGGCGGUGUGCUGUAAUUGAAGCAUAUGAUAGCAUAAAGUAUUUAGUUCUUACAGUUGUCAAAUAUCACACAGAAGAACAUUCUAUUGCUGAAAGAAUUUUCGAUGAAAUAGACAACAAUAUUCAGUUUGAAAAGGUUACUGAGGCUUACAAUCUGAAACAACUAGAAUCUGUUCAUUCCAAGUUGAUAUCAUUUGUUGAGGUUCUGAUGGGACCAAAGAAGGAUCUAAGUAAGGCAGUGAAUAUAUUGCAGGCAUUGUAUGAGUUUUAUGUUCGAGACUUUCCAGGGGGAAAAAGGGCAAUUGAGCAAUUGAGGCAGAAAGGUCUAGCCCCCCAUAGUGCAUCCACUGAUGAAGGGUUACUCUUUGAGAAUGCUAUUGAGUUUCCAGAUGCUGGAGAUGAGUUAUUCAACAGGCAUGUACGGCGUUUGUACACAAUUCUUAACUCCAGAGAUUCCAUGCACAAUGUCCCAAAGAAUAUUGAGGCAAGACGGCGUAUUGCUUUUUUUAGCAAUUCCCUCUUCAUGAACAUGCCUCGUGCACCUGUUGUUGAGAAAAUGAUGGCUUUCAGUGUCUUGACCCCUUAUUAUGAAGAAGAAGUGUGUUUUCCUAAAGAAACGCUUCGACGGCAGAAUGAAGAUGGAAUUUCUACCAUUUUUUAUCUGCAGAAGAUCUAUGAAGAUGAGUGGAAUAAUUUCAUAGAGAGAAUGUAUAGAGAGGGAAUGAAAGAUGAUGAUGAUAUAUGGGAAAAAAAGUCAAGGGAUCUUCGUCUUUGGGCCUCAUACAGAGGCCAGACAUUAGCCCGCACUGUGAGAGGAAUGAUGUAUUACUACAGAGCUCUUAAGAUGCUUUCCUAUCUUGAUACUGCAACUGAGAUUGACAUAAGGAUGGGAACACAAGAACUUGCUUCUCAUCACUCAUCAAGGCAAAACCGCAGUUUGGAUGGUCUAAACUCGGUCAAGCCACCAUCUUCGCAGAAACUGGGCAGAGCAGGUAGUAGUGUAAGUCUUUUGUUUAAAGGGCAUGAGUAUGGGAGUGCUCUGAUGAAAUUCACAUAUGUAGUCUCCUGCCAAGUGUAUGGGCAGCAGAAGGCAAAAGGAGAUCCUCAUGCUGAGGAGAUUUUACAUCUGAUGAAAAACAACGAGGCCCUUCGAGUUGCAUAUGUUGAUGAAGUUCACUUGGGGAGGGGUGAAGUUGAGUAUUACUCAGUUCUUGUGAAGUAUGAUCAGCAGCUGCAGAGGGAAGUUGAGAUUUAUCGGAUCAGAUUGCCUGGUGCCUUGAAGCUUGGAGAAGGCAAACCUGAAAAUCAGAACCAUGCCAUUAUCUUUACUCGGGGUGAUGCAGUCCAGACCAUUGACAUGAACCAGGACAAUUAUUUUGAGGAGGCACUCAAGAUGCGGAAUUUGCUGGAGGAAUUUAAGACUCAUUAUGGAAUUAGGAGGCCAACCAUUUUAGGUGUGCGUGAGAAUAUUUUCACAGGUUCAGUGUCCUCACUUGCUUGGUUCAUGUCUGCUCAGGAGACAAGUUUUGUGACACUUGGACAGCGUGUUCUUGCUAACCCUUUAAAGAUACGAAUGCAUUACGGUCACCCAGAUGUGUUUGAUAGGUUUUGGUUCGUGCCUCGGGGUGGACUAAGCAAGGCGUCUAGAGUUAUCAACAUCAGUGAGGAUAUAUUUGCUGGCUUCAAUUGCACACUUCGAGGUGGCAAUGUGACACAUCAUGAAUAUAUACAGGUAGGUAAAGGAAGAGAUGUUGGGCUGAAUCAGGUUUCAAUGUUUGAGGCAAAGAUUGCAAGCGGCAACGGUGAGCAGGUUUUAAGCAGAGAUGUAUAUCGGUUGGGCCACAGAUUGGAUUUCUUUCGCAUGCUCUCAUUUUUCUACACCACUGUGGGAUUCUACUUCAACACGAUGCUUGUGGUACUGACUGUUUAUACUUUUUUGUGGGGCCGUCUUUAUCUUGCUCUCAGUGGUGUAGAGGGUUACGCAAAGGCCAAUAGUAGCAAUAAUGAGGCCCUUGGCACAAUUCUGAAUCAGCAGUUCCUUAUCCAAUUAGGCCUCUUCACUGCCCUCCCUAUGAUUGUGGAGAACUCUCUUGAACAUGGGUUUCUUCCAGCUGUUUGGGACUUUUUGACAAUGCAGUUCCAGUUGGCUUCAUUUUUUUACACCUUCUCUAUGGGAACUCGUGCCCAUUUCUUUGGUCGGACUAUUCUUCAUGGAGGUGCCAAAUACCAAGCCACUGGACGUGGUUUCGUGGUGCAGCACAAGAGCUUUGCUGAGAACUAUAGACUAUUUGCACGAAGCCAUUUUGUGAAGGCAAUUGAGCUUGGGGUCAUUCUAAUAGUAUAUGCUGCCAACAGUGAUUUGGCUGCAAAUACUUUUGUUUACAUAAUCAUGACAAUUUCUUGCUGGUUCCUUGUGGUAUCAUGGAUAAUUUCCCCCUUUCUGUUCAACCCUUCUGGCUUUGAUUGGCUAAAAACUGUGUAUGACUUUGAAGGCUUUAUGAACUGGAUUUGGUAUAGAGGAGUGCUGGCAAAAGCAGAUCAAAGCUGGGAAACAUGGUGGUAUGAGGAGCAGGAUCAUCUAAGAACUACAGGUCUGUGGGGAAAGCUGUUGGAGAUAAUUUUGGACCUUCGUUUCUUCUUCUUCCAGUAUGGUGUUGUAUAUCACCUGAAUAUUACUAGUGGGAGUACCAGUAUAGCUGUUUACCUGUUAUCUUGGAUAUAUAUGGUUGCAGCUGUUGGAAUUUAUGUCAGCAUAUCAUAUGCUCAGGACAAAUUUGCUGCAAAGGAGCACAUCAAAUAUCGGCUAACACAGCUUAUAGUCAUUACACUUACUAUUCUUGUGAUAGUUCUGUUACUGAAGCUCACAACGUUUAUAUUUCUUGAUCUUGUGAGCAGUCUUUUGGCAUUUAUUCCCACAGGCUGGGGCCUCAUAUGCAUUGCUCAAGUACUUAGACCAUUUUUGCAGUCCACUGUUGUGUGGGAUACUGUGGCCUCCUUGGCUCGGUUAUAUGAUAUGCUGUUUGGGGUGAUUGUGAUGGCUCCUGUUGCAUUUCUAUCAUGGCUGCCUGGAUUCCAGUCAAUGCAGACAAGGAUCCUAUUUAAUCAAGCAUUCAGCAGGGGGCUCCAGAUAUCUCUUAUUCUUACUGGCAAAAAGUCCAAUUGACAGGUGACUCAAGGUAUUUCUUCUAUCUUCUUCUUCUAAUUUAUUUCUCUAGUAUUCCACUUGUUAAAUGCUUGUUAGCUGACAUUAUGUGGUUGAGUUGGAUUAUUUUUUCUGUUUUUGUCUAUUGUUUGAUGUUUUAUUGUUGUAUUUUAAAUUAUGAAAUAGUUCUUGUUUCUUUUUAUUUACUGCUGCUUCAUACAUGUCAUAACAGUUUAUCCAUAAAAAUAUUGAGGAAACCCAAAACUAUUUACAUCUUGUAAAUAUUGCCCUUAAGGAGAAGGAUUGAGUCUCUAGUGAAGAGUCAAAAGUGGGCUGCUUAAGGUUAGCUUUUUAACUAGCUAAUUGCCAUUGGCUUUAAUGGAUUGAACUUGAGCCAAGGUUUGGCUAUUCUGGGAGAAACUUUAGCGUGUUUGAGGUAUGAAUAGGUUGAGUGAGAUUUUUUUCCCAAGCCAAUAUCAAGUUUUAAGAGAAAAGAUUUAAUUGAGCUAAGAAGUAGAUUGCUCAAAUAGACAUUGAACCUGCUGAUGUCAUUGAGGAUUUGCGUAGAUUGUACGUCUGAAUUGCAGUUUGCUCUUUGAUGGCAUGAAGGUUAUGCAAGGAUGAAUUCUGCUGUUGGCACUUGUGGGGCCUGCUGUCUAGAGCUUACAUUAUGGGUGGAUUUUGAUGAAAUAUGGAUUUAUGCGGAAAGUUGCAUCUAAUUGCUGAGUACUUACUGGUGCAAUACUUAACAGACAAAUGGAAUUCUCUGUUGAACUGCAAAAUCCACGAUUCAUAGCAUCAGCAAAGUGAUUGGAAUUUACAUGAUAUUUGGCUUUUCUUUCCUUUUCUCUUGAUGCUUGUUUUACUAGAUUAUGCAUGUGAAGUUGGUAGUAAUAUGAGAAUUAUGUAUUUAUAUAAUUCUUGUGAGGCCUUAUGUCUGUCUGUCUGUCUCUCUCUC